UUUGAAAAAGAGAGAGUAUUCUGUGUGAUAUGUGGCAAGUGAUAUGUGAAGAUGAGACGUGGAGUGGCCACUUACCUGUGGUCAGGACUGCUGGUCACUUCUUAUUGUCCCAGAGGCCUGGAGAGAAGGCUCCACCUUGGAAGAUACUGGAAAAUAUUGACAAUGUUGAGAAAAUAUAAUGACCUUGGAGAAGAUUCUGUCUUCCUGAGCUGGCCACAGAGGCCAACUCAGCAAGAGUGGUUCACUCACAUCAAGUGAAUGGAAAAAUCGGAUCAUGGAGCUGCCAGGGC
This is a long non-coding RNA of Sciurus carolinensis (gray squirrel), 290 nucleotides long. RefSeq lists it as uncharacterized. Lineage: Eukaryota; Metazoa; Chordata; Mammalia; Rodentia; Sciuridae. The transcript has 3 exons. The record is from RefSeq and is a predicted model, not a curated record.